GUAGGGUGCAAGCGUUAAUCGGAAUUACUGGGCGUAAAGCGUGCGCAGGCGGUUAUGCAGGACAGAGGUGAAAUCCCCGGGCUCAACCUGGGAACUGCCUUUGUGACUGCAUGGCUAGAGUACGGUAGAGGGGGAUGGAAUUCCGCGUGUAGCAGUGAAAUGCGUAGAUAUGCGGAGGAACACCGAUGGCGAAGGCAAUCCCCUGGACCUGUACUGACGCUCAUGCACGAAAGCGUGGGGAGCAAACAGGAUUAGAUACCCUGGUAGUCCACGCCCUAAACGAUGUCAACUGGUUGUUGGGAGGGUUUCUUCUCAGUAACGUAGCUAACGCGUGAAGUUGACCGCCUGGGGGGUACGGCCGCAAGGUUG
RNAcentral lists this ribosomal RNA (369 nucleotides) under uncultured bacterium. RNAcentral's name for it is "bacterial SSU rRNA". It matches the Rfam family "Bacterial small subunit ribosomal RNA", at positions 527 to 896 of the family's 1533-position model. The record is from RNAcentral.